Long non-coding RNA from Oryzias javanicus (javanese ricefish), 1256 nucleotides. Lineage: Eukaryota; Metazoa; Chordata; Actinopteri; Beloniformes; Adrianichthyidae. The record is from Ensembl.
UUCAGCUUAGAGCAGUUAACUUGCCAUGGCAGCCGUUCUAGGUUUUACUGUUAGCAAAAGUUGGAGUAAAUAACAGCAACAGAGUAAACAACAGAGCAGACAGGCAAGGUUUUUCAAAGUAGGAUUUAAUAAGUUCACCUCUGUUUCCUUUCUGAAAGUAUCUUCUGUUUUCAACUAUCAGACGGAAUAUGAAUCUCACAUCAAUAAACAGCAAUGACUGUUGCAGAGAGGAGGACGUUGUUGCUGACAUGAACAGUCUGCCUGACCUAAAGUCCAGGAUCCAGGAGCUGCUCCACUCAACGCUGGACAAUUCAUCCAUCACAGUGAUGCAGGAAAGGCUGCUGCUCAAGCAGAGGAGCGCUUACCAUUUUGUCAUUCAGAGCGAAGAACCAAGAUUCACCUCCAUCAAAGUGAUCGGGAAUUUCUUGGGUCCGAAUAGGCUCCAGAAUGUGAAAGACUGGAUGAAGACACAGAUAGAGCUCCUUCUGGCCUCCUUAGAAAUGCUCUACCAGGAAAUCACCAUCAGUCGUCAGAACCUCGAAGACUUUGUUGCAAAGUGUGAACAGGUCGAGGUGGAUACAGAUGAGGUGGCCUCAGCAGAGCAGCAGCUCCAACAGAUCCAGCAGCAUGUUAAAGACUUUGAGGCAAAAAUGGCGAGUAGCCUCCAGCCACUGACCCUGAACAGCUUGUUCCUCCUUAACAUGAGGCCCCUUUGUGUCUCUCCGGUUCUAAUGUCAAUGCUCACCCACGCUCCGGUGAUGUUCAACAAGGAAAAGACACUUCUGACUCACAACUCCACGUGCCUGUUUUGGUACAUUGCGGGUGAGCAGCCUGAGGAGCCAGGAUGUGUGUUCAGAGUUGAAGUAAAAUGGGUUGACCCUGAAGAAAAGCUGCUGAGGGAGGCCAUCUGUUUCAGCUAUGUAUAUAAAGUCCAGAACCUAAAACCAGACACCUGCUACAAGUUCACUGUGAGGAGGAUGGUCAACAAUACAUCAGUGUAUGAAGCCUGGAUCGACACCCUGCACCUGAAAACGUUACGUUCCCGACAGCAGAAAAAGGCUCAAAAAGAUGUCUCAAAAGGAUCCCAGUAAGCACAAGAAACUAAAGUUUUAAGACAAGAAACCGUAAUUCCCUGAGAAGGUUUGAGACUUUGAAAGUUUGAAGGUCAAGAAAAGGGAAAAGAGGGCUGUUAACUUCAGAAAUGCAUUUUAAUAAAUAAAACCAGGGAGAAAAACACAAGUUGUCCUUGUCUUUCA